This 347-nucleotide long non-coding RNA is filed under the name Homo sapiens (human). Its description in RNAcentral is "HSALNT0385595". The record is from RNAcentral. Lineage: Eukaryota; Metazoa; Chordata; Mammalia; Primates; Hominidae.
UGAACGCACACAUCACAGAGCAGUUUCUGAGAAUGAUUCUGUCUAGUUUUUAUAGGAAAAUAUUUCCUUUUCUGCUUUUGGCCUCAAAGCGCUUGAAAUCUCCACUUGCAAAUUCCACAAAAAGAGAGUUUCAAAUCUACUCUUUCUAAAGGAAGUUUCAACUCCGUCAGUUGAAAACACACAACACAAAGAAGUUACUAAGAAUUCUUCCCUCUAGCAUUAUAUGAAGAAAUCCCGUUUCCAACGAAGGCAUCUAAGAGGUCCAAAUAUCCACUUGCAGACUUUACAAACAGAGGGUUUCCAGAAUGCUGUGUGAAAAGAAAGGUUAAAGUCUGUGAGUUAAACAC